GAUUUCAAUUAUGUAGGCAAGCCAAGUGCCUGGAAAUUUUGGAUCUCGUCUGAGUUUCUUUCUUCCACGAAUUUCCAACCAACUAUUGACCCUUUUGGGAAUCACCUGCCCACUGUGAAUGACAAAGCUGGAAGAGGAACAUGAUUUGCCGUCAGUCCAGUUGCUGGCAAGAACCCCCAACACGAAAACUGACCUGCUGUCAGGUGAGCUGCGUGGACAAGAACUUGGACGCCAGGCUUCAGCUCGAAGUGCACCAAGUUUUGGUUGAGUUUGUGGAUUAGAACUUCAGAUAUCUGAAAGAAGUGUUAUAGUUAGUGUCAGCAAAAUCAUCUUAAUGACUUUGAACAGCUAGCUACUCUAAGAAAUACUUUGAAUGUUCACCAAGGCCUGCUAGUAUUAUAAAGCAAAUGACAGAGAGAGAAGAUCUGUUAUACAGAGGAACUGAAUAGUAGUAUCUUGCUUAUAAUCCAAACAUUAUGGUAUGAUUUACUUUGCUUCCUUCAUUUUCUCUAAAUCAUCUCUAUGGCUUCUACGGGUAAGAACUUUAUGACUGCUGGAUAAUAACGGUUGUCAAUAGCUUAAUAAACAAUAUAGCUCAAGACAAUGCAGCCACCGUUUACGCAAUGAAUCAGUUAAUCUUUGUUUCUACAAAUAGGUGUUUAUUAAACCACUUCUGAGACUGGUACAUUAUAGACUAUGGACUAUUCAACCUGAGCAUAGGGUUUAAGUAUAAAUUACAUAAGCAAGGUAUUACAAAUAGGGUAAAAGCCCUUUCUUUUGUUUAGCAUAAAAAUUUAUUAUGCCUUGCUAACAGAUUUUGAGGAAUUUCUGAAAGGCUCCAAGGGAUAAUCUUACUACUUAUUUUCAUCUGCUUUCCUUGCCUUGUUUUUAAUAUACUAUUUUAAGCACCAAGUUCAUAUUUUAUUUAAUGUGCUGUUAAGUCUAAUUAGAUGGAUGGCAGCUGUUAUUCUUCUAGUUAGAGUCUUCUGCUUUCCUCUUUUUAUUUGCAGUUUCAUCUCCUUGAGUAAAGUUGCCAAAAUGGCACUGUUGAACCUUAAUAAUUAAGUAGGACCUGAUGGCUUAGUUUGCAGUCCAUUAUAGAAGUCCCUAGCUGGCAAUGGAAGUGCAGUGCCCUGCACAUAAACUUCUCUGCUGAACAAGAGGAGGGAGAGAUGAUCCCCAUGCCCUGUGACUGAUGACCCGGGAUCUUUCUCUCAAACAUUGCCAUUGAGAAACCAGGAAGCAAAGCAAUUCUAUGUUAAAAUUAUGCUGAAUACAACUUUGUCCGUCUGUGAAGAUACUCUUGUUUUAUGAGCAUGGGAAAUUUUUCUCAAAGCUCCAGGUUUAAAGAAGGAUGGAUUUCCAAGGUAUUUCACCAAAGGUGUUCUCUCUGUAAUCUCUGAUUAUUACUCAAUUAGUAGAGUUUUGAUAUGAAAUAAACACUGGAAUUUU
RNAcentral lists this long non-coding RNA (1452 nucleotides) under Mus musculus (house mouse). RNAcentral's name for it is "predicted gene 45352". The record is from RNAcentral. Lineage: Eukaryota; Metazoa; Chordata; Mammalia; Rodentia; Muridae.